UUGUCAAAUUACGAAGGAGGUUCACACAUUCGAUUUCCGCGUUUAUACGCGAGGCUUUCGAUUUUCAUCACCAUUAUUUUCUCAUAAGUGUCGUCUGCCUGUCUUUCUUUCUCUCUCUCUCUCUCUCUCUCUCUCUCUCUCUCUUUCUCUCAUGCUCGCGUUCCAUCAAUCUUAAUCCUCGCGGUUUCGCGUCGAAUCAGGUACUCGCUAUCACCUCUUACCGUUUCGAUUCACGUCACACACGUCCAUACGUUUCUUUCUUUUUUUCU
Molecule: long non-coding RNA, 269 nt
Organism: Frieseomelitta varia
Lineage: Eukaryota; Metazoa; Arthropoda; Insecta; Hymenoptera; Apidae
Exons: 2
Source: RefSeq, a predicted model, not a curated record